CCUACGGGAGGCAGCAGUGAGGAAUCUUCCACAAUGGGGGCAACCCUGAUGGAGCAACGCCGCGUGCAGGAUGAAGGCCUUCGGGUCGUAAACUGCUUUUAUAAGUGAGGAAUAUGACGGUAACUUAUGAAUAGUGCUCGGCUAACUACGUGCCAGCAGCCGCGGUAAU
RNAcentral lists this ribosomal RNA (169 nucleotides) under uncultured bacterium. Its description in RNAcentral is "partial 16S ribosomal RNA". It matches the Rfam family "Bacterial small subunit ribosomal RNA", at positions 338 to 524 of the family's 1533-position model. The record is from RNAcentral.